Molecule: ribosomal RNA, 489 nt
Filed under: uncultured bacterium
Lineage: Bacteria
Description: partial 16S ribosomal RNA
Rfam family: Bacterial small subunit ribosomal RNA
Source: RNAcentral
AUUGAACGCUGGCGGCAGGCCUAACACAUGCAAGUCGAACGGUAACAGGAAGAAGCUUGCUUCUUUGCUGACGAGUGGCGGACGGGUGAGUAAUGUCUGGGAAACUGCCUGAUGGAGGAGGAUAACUACUGGAAACGGUAGCUAAUACCGCAUAACGUCGCAAGACCAAAGAGGGGGACCUUCGGGCCUCUUGCCAUCGGAUGUGCCCAGAUGGGAUUAGCUAGUAGGUGGGGUAACGGCUCACCUAGGCGACGAUCCCUAGCUGGUCUGAGAGGAUGACCAGCCACACUGGAACUGAGACACGGUCCAGACUCCUACGGGAGGCAGCAGUGGGGAAUAUUGCACAAUGGGCGCAAGCCUGAUGCAGCCAUGCCGCGUGUAUGAAGAAGGCCUUCGGGUUGUAAAGUACUUUCAGCGGGGAGGAAGGGAGUAAAGUUAAUACCUUUGCUCAUUGACGUUACCCGCAGAAGAAGCACCGGCUAACUCCGU